Molecule: non-coding RNA, 70 nt
Organism: Fukomys damarensis (Damara mole-rat)
Lineage: Eukaryota; Metazoa; Chordata; Mammalia; Rodentia; Bathyergidae
Source: Rfam
AGGUUUGUAGGUCAGUGGUAGAGCACUUGCCUAGCAUGCAUGAGGCUCUGGGUUCAAUCCCCAGUACUUG